ACUCCUACGGGAGGCAGCAGUGGGGAAUUUUGGACAAUGGGCGCAAGCCUGAUCCAGCCAUUCCGCGUGCAGGACGAAGGCCUUCGGGUUGUAAACUGCUUUUGUACGGAACGAAAGGGCUCUGGUUAAUACCUGGGGCAUAUGACGGUACCGUAAGAAUAAGCACCGGCUAACUACGUGCCAGCAGCCGCGGUAAUACGUAGGGUGCAAGCGUUAAUCGGAAUUACUGGGCGUAAAGCGUGCGCAGGCGGUUUUGUAAGACAGAGGUGAAAUCCCCGGGCUCAACCUGGGAACGGCCUUUGUGACUGCAAAGCUGGAGUGCGGCAGAGGGGGAUGGAAUUCCGCGUGUAGCAGUGAAAUGCGUAGAUAUGCGGAGGAACACCGAUGGCGAAGGCAAUCCCCUGGGCCUGCACUGACGCUCAUGCACGAAAGCGUGGGGAGCAAACAGGAUUAGAUACCCUGGUAGUCCACGCCCUAAACGAUGUCAACUGGUUGUUGGGUCUUCACUGACUCAGUAACGAAGCUAACGCGUGAAGU
Molecule: ribosomal RNA, 537 nt
Filed under: uncultured bacterium
Lineage: Bacteria
Description: bacterial SSU rRNA
Rfam family: Bacterial small subunit ribosomal RNA
Source: RNAcentral